Molecule: long non-coding RNA, 824 nt
Organism: Acanthochromis polyacanthus (spiny chromis)
Lineage: Eukaryota; Metazoa; Chordata; Actinopteri; Pomacentridae
Exons: 3
Source: RefSeq, a predicted model, not a curated record
AGAAGCCACAGGUAUGUGAAACAACCUCCGGCUGGAGAGGGACCAGACAGUAGAACAGAGAUGGAUGAAAUCCAGUAUGCCAGUGUGCAAUUCACUGCAAACCAGCCAGAUGCUGUCUACUCCAACUUCAGCCCAGGUCAGAUGGACCGAUACCAGGAGGAGUCUGUGGUGUACUCAACGACCAAACCCAACAGAUCUACAAGAACAAGAAAUCAAGCAGCUGUGGAGGAUCCAUCUGCACUGUAUAGCAAAGUUGUGAGAAAAUAACAUGGAUCUGCUGGUAUCUUCAGUGAGUCGCUUCAGACAGACGUGGUCAGUAAUUAGCAUGAAGGCAGCAACAUUUCAUACAAAAUGCAUUUAUAUUAUUGAAGAUGAACUAAACAUUAGACCUCAGAGUAACACGGAGGCAUUUUCUGCAUUUGUCUCCAAUGAAAGGAAACAAAGUGUAGGGUGUGCUUGUUUUGUACAGAUUGUAAAGCCCCUUGAGGCAAAUUUGAAACUCUUUUGGGGUUCAUAAAAUUGGCCUGAUUUGACCAGUCUUUCAUGGGAUUCAGCACACUUCUACAAAAUGUCCAGAGAGUUAAGCUAGUAUCUCCUCACAUUGCUGUUUAAAUGUUUUAAUGAUUGUCCCUCACUCAGUGUAAGUCAGAAAACUAUGUUCAGAAUCCAUAUUUAUAAUUUUACUGCUUCACCACCACAGCUAUUUAUUAACUGUCUGCAUCAGUGUGUUUGUUUAUCCACUUUAAAAGCUGUGUGUUCAUCAUGUUGGCUUUGUUUUGUCUCACAUGGAAAAUCAAUAAAAAUGUUUUUUUUUCUUUCUCUCA